AAACUUAGGGUAACACA
This 17-nucleotide transfer RNA is filed under the name Amolops compotrix. RNAcentral describes it as "partial tRNA-Trp". The record is from RNAcentral. Lineage: Eukaryota; Metazoa; Chordata; Amphibia; Anura; Ranidae.